Molecule: long non-coding RNA, 1596 nt
Filed under: Drosophila guanche
Lineage: Eukaryota; Metazoa; Arthropoda; Insecta; Diptera; Drosophilidae
Source: RNAcentral
CUUUAAGACCAGAAAGAUAUUUUUUUUUUUUGAUUCUAAAUUCGAAAAUAUGGGCAAUGAUUGUGAUGGUGUCCUACCAGGCACCAGCACAGCAGAAGGAAUGUCUUCGGUUGUUAUAACCUUAAGUCCUUAAGCAGAAAGAAAGAAAACCAAAAUUUGAUGAUCUUUGGUUGAUGAUUCUUUCGAGAAAAAGAGGAACAGGACCGACUAGUUCUCAGAGACUAUAAGAGCUAGAGCCACCAAAUUUUGGCUCCGGACUGCUGUAUGCUCACACUGAAACCAGUGUAUUUCAAAAAUUAGCCCCGCCCACUUCCGCCCCCGCAAAAGGGGGAAAACCUCUCAAACCUACAAUAUUGAAGAUAAAAGAAAACUAAAAACGCCAUUCCGUAGGGAAUGACGAUAGAUCACCAAAUUGGGAUCCGAUUGGAUCAAUAUUAUAGCUAGAAUGGAGGAAUUAAUUUCCAGUGACUAAACCCACCCUGUCCCGCAGCUUUUGUUGUUCUUUUCACAUUCUCUCAUUCACACUAUGCUUCUGCUUCACUCGGCCUCUGUCUCUGCCCUCCCACUGCCGCUGCCGACUUUUAACCCACCCCGUCCGUGAUCUGUGCUUUGUCUCGGAUCCGACCGUAGCGUUCUUAACACGAGCACUCCCGCUCACUAUAGCUGAAGACUGCUAUCAUCCUACUUUCGAAGUGUCGGUAGAUAUUGGACCUACUGUAUCGGAUCGUGCGGGUAGGCUAUCUGAACGGGUCCGCUGCUUUCGUAAAGCCGAGUUUACGAAGCUCAAUAACUUAAUUGGGAGUUUUGAUUGAUCCGAUCUGUACUCGUGCACUGACGUCAUUGGAGGCAGAAACAUUUUUUUACAAUGUACUUGACACAAUUUUUGACACGUGUGUCCCACUUUCAUAACCAACUAGAUCUGCGAAACCUCCUUGCUUCACCAAAGAGUUAUCCAGUCUAAAUAACCUAAAAUUGUACUGUUCUUAAUGCUCAAUGCUAUAGGAACUACCUCCUUCGAUGCAGGAUACGUUUUUCACAGGACCCUAAACAGUUCUACAGCUUUGUAAACAGUAAGCGUGGAAGUUAACACAUAAGCAAUAACAUGGGACACCCUAACUUAGCGCACUAGAAAUGUGAAAUAUCAUGUGCCGCCCUAACUUAUCCAGUCCGAUACGGAGGGCGCCGAUGCAGUAGAUGCCGUUGCAGCGGGCGGCUCUGUUAUCUGAUUGGGCGCCAGCGAUCGCAUGAUCUUGUUUACGCGCGGGCGGCUCUUAUCUCUUGUGUGCGCGGACGGCUCGCCGGCUAGGUUUCGGUGUAGGUUUAUAAGUAAGCUUUAGUUUAGAAUUGGACGAAUAAAUGAACGGAGCGUUCAUAUCAACUCCGACACAAGUCGUAAAACGUGUAUUGAUAUAAUUAUAUUGUUGAGCCUUAAGGGCCAACGAAAGAGAGGGCAGUUACCCUCUCAACAUAAUCUUCGGUAGAAGACUCAGUUGCCAACCGCAACCACCGUCCCCCGCUACAAGAGCGGGCCACGGGAACCCGAUCGCUGCCGCCGGAGCCAACGCAACGCAUACCGCAGCUCGGACCAAAAACGAC